AAUGGAUAGCAUGCUGUGUGUGUGUGUGUGUGUGUGUGUGUGUGUAUACACACACACACACACACACACACACACAGGGACAGA
This 84-nucleotide microRNA precursor is filed under the name Podarcis lilfordi (Lilford's wall lizard). The record is from RNAcentral. Lineage: Eukaryota; Metazoa; Chordata; Lepidosauria; Squamata; Lacertidae.